Molecule: small RNA, 107 nt
Filed under: Marmota monax (woodchuck)
Lineage: Eukaryota; Metazoa; Chordata; Mammalia; Rodentia; Sciuridae
Source: RNAcentral
GCCUGGUGUGGUGGUGCACGCCUGUAAUCCCAGUUACUUGGGAGCUUGAGGCAGGAGGAUCACAAGUCUGAGCCCAGGCUGGACAACUUAGGGAGACCCUGACUCAA